AUGGCUCUGAAGUCCCCUCUUUAGCUACUUAUUGUGUUGCUUGACAGAAGUCAGGAUCAAUGCAUCAACUUUGGCCUACUUCUCCAUCUGAGCUGGAAAAUAUUUUUUGCAAAGUGUAUAGGGGAGUAUUCGCUUUUUUUCCAAAACCUAGUAUUUCAUACACAAAGUUACCAAUUUUGUACAUACUACUAUUUGAUGUACUAGAAAGGAAAAGAAGGCAUUGCUGACUUAUCAUUGACACAGUGGUCAUGCUGACAUUCUUGGCAACGAGUGGUCCCUCCAAACUUUUUUCUUCUAUCCAUAACCAAGGAAGACCAUUUCUCCUGCCUUUACUUUUGCUGCUUGGCAUUUGGCAAUAGCCCUUUGAGUUUAUCUCAUAAUAAAAUAUGCACAGUUCUGUCUACCAGUAAGCUUCCUUCUUUAAUUUUGUUCCCAGUUUUUCAGUAGCAUCCAUUAGUCAUUCAAGGAGCUUCCUUCUGUCUUAGCACCCAGGAAGAAGCUGCUGGUAACAGUUCAGGAAGACAUGGCUCUGUAGGCAUUUACCCAAAAG
Molecule: long non-coding RNA, 550 nt
Organism: Perognathus longimembris pacificus (Pacific pocket mouse)
Lineage: Eukaryota; Metazoa; Chordata; Mammalia; Rodentia; Heteromyidae
Exons: 3
Source: RefSeq, a predicted model, not a curated record